GUAGGGUGCGAGCGUUAAUCGGAAUUACUGGGCGUAAAGCGUGCGCAGGCGGUUCUGCAAGUCAGCUGUGAAAGCCCCGGGCUUAACCUGGGAACGGCGGUCGAAACUGCAGGACUAGAAUCUGGCAGAGGGGGGUGGAAUUCCACGUGUAGCAGUGAAAUGCGUAGAGAUGUGGAGGAACACCGAUGGCGAAGGCAGCCCCCUGGGCUAAGAUUGACGCUCAGGCACGAAAGCGUGGGGAGCAAACAGGAUUAGAUACCCUGGUAGUCCACGCCCUAAACGAUGUCGACUAGUUGUCGGGUCUUUACAGACUUGGUAACGCAGCUAACGCGUGAAGUCGACCGCCUGGGGAGUACGGUCGCAAGAUUA
This 369-nucleotide ribosomal RNA is filed under the name uncultured bacterium. RNAcentral's name for it is "bacterial SSU rRNA". It matches the Rfam family "Bacterial small subunit ribosomal RNA", at positions 527 to 896 of the family's 1533-position model. The record is from RNAcentral.